GUAGUUUGAUCCUGGCUCAGAUUGAACGCUAGCGGGAUGCCUUACACAUGCAAGUCGAACGGCAGCACGGACUUCGGUCUGGUGGCGAGUGGCGAACGGGUGAGUAAUGUAUCGGAACGUGCCUAGUAGCGGGGGAUAACUACGCGAAAGCGUAGCUAAUACCGCAUACGCCCUACGGGGGAAAGCAGGGGAUCGCAAGACCUUGCACUAUUAGAGCGGCCGAUAUCGGAUUAGCUAGUUGGUGGGGUAACGGCUCACCAAGGCGACGAUCCGUAGCUGGUUUGAGAGGACGACCAGCCACACUGGGACUGAGACACGGCCCAGACUCCUACGGGAGGCAGCAGUGGGGAAUUUUGGACAAUGGGGGAAACCCUGAUCCAGCCAUCCCGCGUGUGCGAUGAAGGCCUUCGGGUUGUAAAGCACUUUUGGCAGGAAAGAAACGUCAUGGGCUAAUACCCCGUGAAACUGACGGUACCUGCAGAAUAAGCACCGGCUAACUACGUG
RNAcentral lists this ribosomal RNA (504 nucleotides) under uncultured Achromobacter sp. Its description in RNAcentral is "bacterial SSU rRNA". It matches the Rfam family "Bacterial small subunit ribosomal RNA", at positions 9 to 507 of the family's 1533-position model. The record is from RNAcentral. Lineage: Bacteria; Pseudomonadati; Pseudomonadota; Betaproteobacteria; Burkholderiales; Alcaligenaceae.